Molecule: ribosomal RNA, 405 nt
Filed under: uncultured bacterium
Lineage: Bacteria
Description: partial 16S ribosomal RNA
Rfam family: Bacterial small subunit ribosomal RNA
Source: RNAcentral
GAUGAACGCUGGCGGCGUGCCUAAUACAUGCAAGUCGAGCGAAGCGGGGACGGGUGAGUAACAUGUGGAUAACCUCCUAUAAGACUGGGAAAACUUCGGGAAAACGGAGCUAAACCGGAUAAUUAUAGAUGGAUCCGGGCGGCAUUAGCUAGUUGGUAGGGUAACGGCUUACCCAGGCAACGAUGCAUAGCCGACCUGAGAGGAUGAUCAGCCACACUGGAACUGAGACACGGUCCAGACUCCUACGGGAGGCAGCAGUGGGGAAUCUUCCACAAUGGGCGCAAGCCUGACGCAGCAACGCCGCGUGAAUGAUGAAGGUCUUCGGAUCGUAAAGCUCUGUUAUUAGGGAGGCGGUACCUAAUCAGAAAGCACCGGCUAACUCCGUGCCAGCAGCCGCGGUAAUUC